AGGUGAGUAAGAGUGAGCUGUCUGUCUUAAGAAAACCUAGAUAUAACCCAGAGGGACCCCCAACACCACUGGUGAACUCCUUCCAGUGAGGAACUUGGGAUGCUGCUGAUAAGCUGCCAUACCCCUCUGCUGCUUCAGCAUGAUGAAGACUGAUGCUGAUGCUCUUGCCUGUCAGGAACCAGACAGAUGUUGAAAGACUGAAUAUAACUCCAGAGAAAAAAAGAAUACUGGGAAGAUUGUAUAUGGCAUGUGAGUGAUAUGAAAAGUAAGAGCUGCUUGUUUCUGCUCCAGUGAGGGUAAUAGUGAACUUUACCUCUCAGUUCAGUGAGUUCAAGACCACACUGUAGAUGCGGGAUAGAUGAAGAGUAGGGGAAGAGGAGAAGACCAUUCGCAAAGGUGCUCAAAUUCUGAGUGGGCACAGCUUAUGUGGCAAACCUGGGCAGCAGAGAGAACAAGAUGCAAGCGUUGGGCCAUCUGAGCCUGAGAAAAGCAAAAAGGGGUCUCUAAUACCUGAAUCUAGAAGUCAGUCCAGAGGACCUGUUGUAAUAAAAAGCCAUCCACAAAACUCUGCUAUGAAAGAAUCACAGUUUCACAAAGGGGUGAGUUUGACCUCUUCUAAUUUUUGUACUCAUUAACAUUUCACAAGCAAGUUGGUGGAAGUGCUGGCCAGUUCUCCUACAGCAGC
This 685-nucleotide long non-coding RNA is filed under the name Calidris pugnax (ruff). Its description in RNAcentral is "lncRNA (ENSCPUG00000012505.1)". The record is from RNAcentral. Lineage: Eukaryota; Metazoa; Chordata; Aves; Charadriiformes; Scolopacidae.